This 612-nucleotide long non-coding RNA is filed under the name Monodelphis domestica (gray short-tailed opossum). RNAcentral's name for it is "lncRNA (ENSMODG00000042777.1)". The record is from RNAcentral. Lineage: Eukaryota; Metazoa; Chordata; Mammalia; Didelphimorphia; Didelphidae.
GGAGGAGACUGUAAAGCUAAGCCUCAAAUGGGAGAUAAUAGAAGGCUGAUGAAUACAUUAAGGAUUAGUCUCAAACAGCUCUGACCUCACAUUGGAGAAUGAUGUACUAUCAUCUUACCCCGCUACAAUUCAGUUAGGAAUUUCUCAUCUCAAGGGUGACAGAGGUUGGUGUUUUUGAUUAAUUUGUUUCUUAUCUGCUGUUUCUAGCUCUCCUCCCUUCCUAGUCUCAAAAACAUGAAAAUACAAGAGAUAAAGGAGCAGGCUUGCUGAUACACAGAACCUUGCUUUUAAUGAUUUAAACAUGAAAGAGAACAUGAGCCAAGGUUUUGUUGAAAACAAACAGAAAGAAAAGGCGGCUAGGUACCACAGUUGAUAAAGCAGUUGGCCUGGACUGUGGAAGAGCUGAAUUCAUAUCUGGGCUUAGAUACUCACUCACUAUGUGAUCCUGGGUUAUAGAUGAAGCAUAAUUUCUGAGGAGGUGAUAGCAUUAGCUCACCCUGAAUGAAAGAGAAGUGAUCACUAUUCAGCUGAAGGAUGGAUGAUGACAAACAUGCUAGAAGGUCUGUUCUUCCUUGGCCUAGCCCACUCUCCACUCUUCCACUGCUAGCAGCU